This 77-nucleotide transfer RNA is filed under the name Bacilli bacterium. Its description in RNAcentral is "tRNA-Arg". It matches the Rfam family "tRNA". Rfam says of the family: Transfer RNA (tRNA) molecules are approximately 80 nucleotides in length. The record is from RNAcentral. Lineage: Bacteria; Bacillati; Bacillota; Bacilli. RNAcentral also lists the same sequence under 1 other name.
GCGCCCUUAGCUCAAUUGGAUAGAGCAUCAGCCUUCGAAGCUGAGUGUUAGGUGUUCGAGUCACCUAGGGCGCGCCA